AUAUCUCGCGAUAGCACUGUUUAAAAUGGCGGCUUCAAGGCGUUUCACGGGUGUCCCGGACAGGCGUGGAGGUGGGGCGCAGGCGAGGAUGAAGCUUGAGUUGGCCAGGAGUCGGAAAACGAUUGCAGGCGGGACCGCGUCCGUCGGGGCUGAGGAAACUUAGCGUGGCAGACCCUAAACUGGGAUAACUUUAGGGAUAUGGCCUUCUUUUCCCAGUUGCCUCAAACUUAGAGCAGCGUCGUCUUUAGCCGAAGAUUCAUUUUCCCAGCAUUUUCCUUCUCCAGGCGGAGUAGUUGGAGACAGAGGGCAAGCCAGAAACUGACCUUCCCAUCUCCUCAUUCCCUUCCAUCAAGAACUUUUCAUCGUUCUUUCCCCACCCUGGUUUGUAAAUGGUAUUUGGCUUCAUAAAAACGUUUGUCCACAGGUGCCCUGCUCCAUCAGUUCGCUCCAGCAAUAUAGGAAGUUACCAAAAAAAAAAUUUUUUUUUAUUGACCUUGGAUGCAGAAAGGAACCGCGUUGGUGUGUGAUUUGAAUUUUGGACUUCUUGUUUCCUGCCUUGUGGCCACGUCCCCCUUACUUGGUGACUCUCAGCACUUAGUUGUGGGGCUUUUUCUCUCUGCUCUCAGACAACUAUAAAAGCAGACUAAUUGAACAGCAUCUAGAACAGAAGGUGGAUGUAAAGAACAUUGGUCGGCCGGGCGCUGUGGCUCACGCCUGUAAUCCCAGCACUUGAGAGGCCGAGGCGGGCAGAUCACGAGGUCAGGAGAUCGAGACCAUCCUGACCAACAUUGUGAAACCCCGUCUCUACUAAAAAUACAAAAAUUAGCUGGGCGUGGUGGCGUGUGCCUGUAAUCCCAGCUACUCGGGAGGCUGAGGCAGGAGAAUUGCUUGAACCAGGGAGUUGGAGGCUGCAGUGAGCCAAGAUCACACCACUGCACUCCAGCCUGGCGACAGAGCGAGACUUCGUCUCAAAAAAGAAAAAAAAAAAAUGAGCCGGGCAUAGUGGCACGCGUCUGUAGUCCCAGCAACUCGGGAGGAUAAAGUGGGAGAAUCCCUUGAGCUGGGAGGUGGAGGUUGCAGUGAGCUAUGAUCACACCACUGCACUCCAUCAAACAGAGCCAGACUCUGCCUCAAGAAAGAGUGUGAGAGAGAUCAAAAUAUCAUUUCAACAUAUAACCAAUGUUAUUAACAAGAUAACUUACAUUCUUUCUUUCGUACUAAGUUUUCAAAAUUUGGUGUUUAUACUUGGAGCACAUCUCAUUAAGGACUGGGAGCAUUUAAAGAGCUCAAGAGCCACAUGCAACUAGUGACGAGAGUAUCGGACAGCGCAGUCCUAGACUCUAGAGUAAUGAAUGAGCUCUCUAGAUGUCCGGGGGGUGGUAUCAUGGGUGUGUGGUGUAUGUAAAAGAAACUCUUGAAAUUGCUAACUCAAAUGGCUGCAGAGGCUAGGCAAGUAACAAUAAAAGAUGACCUGACAUAGGGACUAGGACCCACUGGAGACUACAAACUCCUAUCUAAAAGAGCCACUUUUCCUGAGUUUUAAAACACAGUGAUGCCAAACAAGAUGUCUGUGAGUAGGACACACAGCUAACUCUGCGGCCAAUAUACUGCCUCAGUGAACCGUGGUAUUCAAAUGUAUGAAACACAAGGAUUUUUUGUUGUUUUUUAUUUUUUUUGAGACAGGGUCUCUCUAGUCAUCCAUGAUCUCGGCUCACUACAACUUCCACCUCUCCCACUCAAGCGAUCCUCCCACCUCACCUCCCAAGUAGCAGGGACUGCAGACACCUACCACUACACCUGGCUAAUUCUUGUAGAAAGGGUAUUUUAACAGAAGAAUAGUAACUAGGCAAAGGGAUGGCAAACCUUGAAAACCUGACCACAUUUCUUUCUGGGUCCUGUACAAGUGUGUGCACUUUAAGCCAUCAUUGCAAUUUAGGAUUAUAAUUUGACUUCUAAGUAGAGUUUCCUACUGAGGAGAUAAUUUUACAGCCAACCUGGGCUCCCUAUAAAUUAAUAAGCUGAUAUCAUGAUUUUUAUUAUAGUUAAAAUUUUAGACAUUCUGAGCUUGAAAAAAUUAUUUCCAGGUUUUCAAAGCUGUUCACUAGCAGACUCCAGACAUUUUUUUCUCCAAAUUUAAGAGAAGGCAUAUACAUAUAUAUAUAUAUAUAUAUACACACACACACACACAUAUAUAUAUACACACAUAUAUAUAUUUUUUUGUUUUGUUUUGUUUUUUUUCUGUUUUUUGUUUUUUGUUUUUUUGAGACAAGGUCUCACUCACACCCAGGCUGGAGUUCGGUGGCAUGAUCUCGGCUCAAUACAACCUCCACCUCUCAGUUUCAAGUGAUUCUUUUGCCUCAGCCUCCAAAGUAGCUGGGAUUACAGUCACGUGCCACUGUGCCCGACUAAUUUUUUUGCAUUUUUAGUAGAGACACGGUUUCGACAUGUUGGCCAGGCUGGUCUCGAAUUUCUGGCUUCAAGUGACCCGCCCACGUUGGCCUUCCAAAGUGCUGGGAUUAGGAGUGUGAGCCAGCACACCUGGCCUACAAGAAGGCAUUUAAUUAUUUUAUGGUUGACUGUGAAAGCUCUUUGUCACAGGAAAGUUAUUUGUCUUUGUACUGCUUUUGCCUGAUACAGUACCUGGUAUACAGAAGGCACAUAAUAAACAUUUGUUAAAGGAAUAUAGUCCUUAAAACUUUUGAGGGGCUCACAGACUUAAAACCCGAGAAUCUGAUGAAGGCUAAGGCUUAUUCAGAUCUUAACUGUGCCCUAUCCAUAUUCCCUCAAACUACCCCAGAGUUCACCUCAACUUUGGUAGACAGAUCUUGUACAGGCCCAGAACUUCUUACCUCAAACACCUGAGUAACUCUAUCUGGAAGUGCUAGCAGAGUUAACAUUAUGAGAGACAAUCUACAAUCAAUGAGAGAUGGGAUUUGGUAGCUAAAUAUUCCAGUUCCUCAUCCCCUUAGUGGAGCCAUUCUGAAGCAUAUUCUACUGUAAUGUUUCUCAAAAUUUUCUAGCAUAUGAUAAUCACCUGGAGAGAUGAAUAUGACACAGAUUCCAGCCAGGCUCAGUGGCUUACACCUGUAAUCGCAGCACUUUGGAAGGUUGAGGCGGAAGGAUCACUUGAGCCCAGGAGUUCGAGACCAGCCUGGGCAAUAUGGUGAGACUUUGUGAGCAUGGUGGCACACAUCUGUGGUCCCAGCUACCUCAGAGGCUGAGGUGGGAGGAUCACUUGAGCUUGGGAGGUUGAGGCUACAGUGAGCCAAGAUUGCGUCACUGUGCAUCAGCCUGAGUGACAGAGGAAGAGUCUGUCUCCAAAAAAAAAAAGAAAAACGAUAGAGAUUCUUGGGCCCAAGAGUUUGCAUUCUAACCAAGCUCCUAGGAAUACUGAUGCUGCUGCCAAUCCAUGGACCACAUGGUGAUGGGUGCCUGCAAUCCCAGCUACUCGGGAGGCUGGAGCAGGAGAAUCGCUUGAACCCAGGAGGCAGAGACUGCAGUAAGCCGAGACGCGCCACUGCACUCCAGCCUGGGUGACAGAGCGAGACUCCAUUUAAAAAAAAAAAAAAAAGGAAAAGGUACAAAGUUUUGUAUACACGUUUAAAGGAGGUAGGCCAGGCACGGUGGCUCCGCCUGUAAUCCUAGCACUUUGAGAGGCCGAGGCAGGCAGAUUGCUUGAGCUCAGGAGUUCAGGACCAGCCUGGGCAACAUGGCAAAACCCCAUCUCUACAAAAAAAUACAGAAAAUUAGCCAGGCGUGGUGGCGAGCUCCUGUAGUGCCACCUACUUGGGGGUCUGAAGUGGGAGGAUCACUUGCACCUGAGAGGUGGAGACCGCAGUGAGCUAAGAUUGCACCACUUCACUGCACUCCAGUCUGGGCGACAGAGUGAGACCCUAUCUCAAAAAAAAAAAAAAAUGCUUAGAGGGGGUAUGAAUUCUCUGGAAUUUGCUCAUUAGAUUAUAAGUGAAGAUGACCAGGGUAAAUGCCAUUUGACCCAAGGUGCACUAAAAUAUGAUCCAUCUAAUGCAGAUUCUGGCAAACUUAAUCUAACCAUUAGCAGCUCAUGGAGUUGACUGAAUUCAGCCAGCUCUCCUUAGAAGUUAUUUUCUCAGAUCUUAUUGCCAUCUUUUCAUUCUUUCUGAUCUGCAUUAGUCUUACUUUGUGGAACAUGGCAGUAGGCCUGGGACUCUUAGAGAGUCCCCAUCCUUGUAAUGAGCAAAAAGAAUAUUGUUGCGCAUUCCUAUCGGGCUCUUAAGAUUUCUUCCCAACCAUACUGCUUUCUAGGUACCACUGUAGUGCCCUUGUAACCCUUAGAUCUUUUCUUGCUGUGUUCAACACAGAGCCUGGCAUACUAUAACUGUAGCUGGUUUCUCCCAUUUCCUUCUGGAUUCCACAUGGCCCCCUAUUCUAUUUCAUCCUUUUGGGAAUGUGUAAUCUUUGACACUUAUAUUCCUAAACCCACUUUGGUAUAAUCUGGAAACUUUAUGGCAUGCUCUAGUCUGUGACAAUCAGGAUAACCCUGAUUAUACCAGCUUCUAAUCAACUACAUAAAGCGGGUGAACACCAGGGUCACCAACACCCAUUUCCCAACUGCGGUGCACAGCAGCUUUUUAGCUUUGCCAACAUUUGGGCCGGCACAUGUGUUUGUGCGUGAUUAUUUGUCUCAUGUACUAUUGAAUAAACGUCUUUGUAAGUAAC
This 4698-nucleotide long non-coding RNA is filed under the name Homo sapiens (human). Its description in RNAcentral is "non-protein coding lnc-SEC24C-5:7". The record is from RNAcentral. Lineage: Eukaryota; Metazoa; Chordata; Mammalia; Primates; Hominidae.